RNAcentral lists this ribosomal RNA (253 nucleotides) under uncultured bacterium. RNAcentral describes it as "partial 16S ribosomal RNA". It matches the Rfam family "Bacterial small subunit ribosomal RNA", at positions 524 to 776 of the family's 1533-position model. The record is from RNAcentral.
UACAGAGGGGGCGAGCGUUGUUCGGAAUUACUGGGCGUAAAGGGCGCGUAGGCGGCCAACUAAGUCAGACGUGAAAUCCCUCGGCUCAACCGGGGAACUGCGUCUGAUACUGGAUGGCUUGAAUUCGGGAGAGGGAUGCGGAGUUCCAGGUGUAGCGGUGAAAUGCGUAGAUAUCUGGAGGAACACCGGUGGCGAAGGCGGCAUCCUGGACCGAGAUUGACGCUGAUGCGCGAAAGCCAGGGGAGCAAACGGG